Molecule: non-coding RNA, 427 nt
Organism: Pelobates cultripes (western spadefoot toad)
Lineage: Eukaryota; Metazoa; Chordata; Amphibia; Anura; Pelobatidae
Source: the annotation of a GenBank genome assembly
GCCUGCAUGAGUGCUGCUGGCACUGGGGAGCUACAGUUCAUUGAGGGAACCAUGAAUGCCAACAUCUACUGUGACAUACUGAAACAGAGCAUGAUCCCCUCCCUUCAGAGACUGGGCCGCAGGACAGUAUUCCAUCAAAACGACCCCAAACACCUCCACGAUGACCACUGCCUUGCUAAAGAAGCUAAAGGUAAAGGUGAUGGACUGGCCAAGCAUGUCUCCAAACCUAAACCCUAUUGAGCAUCUGUGGGGAAUCCUCAAAAGAAAGGUGGGGGAACGCAAGGUCUCUAACAUCCACCAGCUCUGUGAUGUCAUCGUGGAGGAGGACUCCAGUGACAACAUGUGAAGCUCUGGUGAACUCCAUGUCCAUGAGGGUUAAGGCAGUGCUGGAAAAUAAUGGUGGCCACACAAAAUAUUUACACUUUGG